AACGAACGCUGGCGGCAGGCUUAACACAUGCAAGUCGAACGCCCCUCCUUCAAGCUCGCUUGAAGAAUCUUCUGGAUAGAGAAGAUCAGGACCGCAGGCGGUCUUGAUGGAGGGGAGUGGCAGACGGGUGAGUAACGCGUGGGAACGUACCCUUUGGUUCGGAAUAACCCAGGGAAACUUGGGCGUAAUACCGGAUACGUCCGUAAGGAGAAGAUUUAUCGCCAAAGGAUCGGCCCGCGUUGGAUUAGCUAGUUGGUGAGGUAAUGGCUCACCAAGGCGACGAUCCAUAGCUGGUCUGAGAGGAUGAUCAGCCACACUGGGACUGAGACACGGCCCAGACUCCUACGGGA
This 350-nucleotide ribosomal RNA is filed under the name uncultured bacterium. Its description in RNAcentral is "partial 16S ribosomal RNA". It matches the Rfam family "Bacterial small subunit ribosomal RNA", at positions 29 to 346 of the family's 1533-position model. The record is from RNAcentral.